Molecule: ribosomal RNA, 256 nt
Filed under: uncultured bacterium
Lineage: Bacteria
Description: partial 16S ribosomal RNA
Rfam family: Bacterial small subunit ribosomal RNA
Source: RNAcentral
UACGGAGGGGGCUAGCGUUGUUCGGAAUUACUGGGCGUAAAGCGCACGUAGGCGGCUUUGUAAGUUAGAGGUGAAAGCCCGGGGCUCAACUCCGGAAUUGCCUUUAAGACUGCAUCGCUAGAAUUGUGGAGAGGUAAGUGGAAUUCCGAGUGUAGAGGUGAAAUUCGUAGAUAUUCGGAAGAACACCAGUGGCGAAGGCGACUUACUGGACACAUAUUGACGCUGAGGUGCGAAAAGCGUGGGGGAGCAAACAGGG